AUUCAGGGAAUAAAUAGUAAGGCCAGUAAGCAGCUUAGUGCUGUGUGGUGGGGCCGGCGCUUCUGCUGCCUUCUGCUUCAAGGUAGCAGAGCAGUCAGGGUCCGCCUGAGAAGGUGACAUCUCAGCAAAGAGCUAGAACUUCGCCAGCUUUAUACGGGGUUUCUUUGUCAGAACGCACUCCUUUAGUGAGGUUUGGAAAACAUUUAACUCCUGUAAUCUUAAAGUAAAUGGACUGGAAGUGCAGCAGGCGUGGCUCCUGUGCGGCACUGAGGAAUCACUGGGAGAGCGCGCAGGGCCCUCAGAGACCUUUCUCCACUUCCCCAGUGAGGAGACGCAAGCCUGGUUCUGCGAUUCCUUCCAGCUCUGGGGUCUGUUACAGUUCCCAUCUGAGUUCUAAAGUUGGGGUGGGCCUGAAGACCCCCCUUGCUGCCAGUCCUGUGGACGCGGUGGGUGCCCCUCCAGCCACCACUGUCCUCUGGACUGUGCCACAUCACAAGCACUUACCAAGCUCCUCUGCAAACCACGUGACAACCAAAUGCAGUGAAAGUUGCAGCCCCCAACCUGCUCCUGCCCGUUGUCUGUUUUCUGCGGCUCUGUCUGGAGUCCUUGGAGCCUCCUGAGCAUGUGCACCAGCAGCGCUGCCUGACUUCCCUGGAGGAAGUUCACAGAGGGCAGCCACAAGUUCAGACCGGGCCAUGGGGCCGGGGGCUCCACGACUCCUGAGAGCAGUUCCUGGCCGGACUCUGGCUUAUGUCACUGCCCCACCCCAGGGAACCCCGGGGGUACAGACAGCUGUUGUUGAGGUCCCAGGAGCAGGUUGUCCCCUAUGCUCCUGGGGACAUGGAGGAGAGGGAGGGUCCCAAGAUCCCAGUACUUGUAUGAGUCACACUGAUUAGCUGAAGCCCAGAGACUUCUUAAUCAUCCUAAAAAUGCAGCCUCCCGGGAGGCAGGGCCUGGCUCUGCAGCUCUGGGUGGCUCAUGCUCUCCCUCCCGUGUGGAGGGGGCUGGAGAGGUUGGGUGAGCUGAUAGGUUUCAUGUGCAAAGAUAAUUAUUUUCCUGUUCUCAUAACCCAGCUUUUACUAGGAAACUGGAAUCACAUCUCAUGUUGUAUAGUGAAGCUCUGGGGAAAAUAUUUUCUUCCUUGAAUCUGAGGAGAGAGAUGUCCUAGGGAGGUAGUCUUCAGGCUCACCCUUGAUUCCAGAGCUGGGUUUCAGCACAGGCAGUCCCCUCCCCCUGAAGAGUCCUGGUGGGGCCACUUGGAGGUGCCAGCAGAGCCAGUGCCACCUUUCUGGGGAACCCGGACAGUGCGCAGCAGUGUGUUAUGCGCUCCAGUUCUCAAAGCCUCGCGUACUGGACACGGUCUGUCUGCAGUAAGGGAGAUCUGAGAAACGCUAGUGGCAAAUAGACCGCUGGUGUCCACAUGCAGGGAAUUGGGCUUCCUUCCCUGGUGGAAUCCUUGCUGUAACCAGCCGGCUCGGGGACAGCUGUGCCUACAGGGGGAAUAUUAGCAACCGAUUCUUUGCUGGGUCUUUGCACCUUUGUAUUUCAAAAUUCUUAGACCCUAGGGAGUAGCCAGAUGGGUUCACAAAUGUGCAUCCUUUUAGUUUUUGUUUUCCAGGAGGUGCUUGGAGCAAAGUUUAGUCCUUGGUGCCUGUGACAGACAGGGAUUUCUUAUGGCCUUGGGCUGACCAAAGCUGCUGUGUUUCAAAGCCUCCUGGAGGCAGUUGUUUGUGGAUCUUGCUGUGUGGGGGCCUCAGGUCCCAUGCCUUUCCCCUGCAGGGCUUUUGGACGGUCCUCGGGGUCUAGGCCACAGCCCUUGGGAUGCAACCACAGAGACGUGGGUGCAGAGUCCUGCUUGCUGGGCCCGCAGCUUCCUAGUGCACCCUCAGUGAAGAGUUCACAUGCUUUUCUUGGAAUAUCCUUCCUUGCUGGCCCCCAGGAGUCUCCUCUCACUUGCUCCACCAACUCCUCAGUGUGUUUUCCUGGCUGAGAGCUUUUCAUGUCGCAUAUCCAAGGCCAUCCUGCAGCAGCCUCUCGUCCUCAGCUCAGCAGCAGAGGCCUUUGAUCUCUUUUGUCGUUGCCUCUCGGCUCUCUGCCCUCAGAACAGGCCGGUGUUCAAGACCAAGGCAGCCCCAAGUGGAGUUGACUGUGCACCGUUAACAGGUGAUCUUUCUCCAUCCCAGGUCCCAGUUGUGUGAUGGCGGCUGCAAUCUGUCUUGUGGGUAUUAAUGCAAUCUUCAGUGGUGGCUACUGUUCUCUAGCUGUUCUACAAAACUGGAGCAUGCUGGCUUGAAAAAACCUUGCCCAGUUUUGAUCCCUUCAAGACUUUGCCACAGCCUCUAUCACACAUCUGUUUUUCUCGAAGAAAAAAUAUAAUAAAAAUGUUUUACUCUUUUACACUGUAUAAUUAUAAGAAAUAGUGUGUUAUUUGUGAAUGCAUGGUCUGAAAUUUCUGUACAGUUUGGAGAUAUUUUCAAACGAAACGUAAGAGAAGUCAACAAUAAAACCAAGAAAAGUGAGUAUUUUUAUACCAAACAUUUUAAGUAUGCUGGGAUGGACAAUCUUACACUGGGUUGGAUCACAGUUUUUGUGCUUGACUUUUGAAUGCUUGUAAUUAAAAAUAUCUAUUUUUUUCCUCUGAAGUAAGUUGCAUGUUUGAGGCAUGUUUCCAAAUAUCAACAUUUCCUGAAUUGUAUUGUGAAUAUAUAGAAAUCUGUGCCUGGCCGAAGUCCAGGGUAAAUUAGUAGCGUGGUGGUAGGUGUUAGAAACAGAACUGUUAUCUGCAGUGUUAGGUCUAGGAUCCCAGUUCUAGUAGGACAGCCCUGCAAGACAAUCAACCAGAAGCCUCCAGGAGCUUCUACCUAUGGCUUAUUCACAACUGGGCAAGAAAACAUCGUUGGUAAGAACUGCGGAGUGUGCCCUUAGAAAGCCCUGGCAGCUCCGGCUGUGACUGUAUCAACUGUGUGCCAAGUGUGAGUUUGUACAGUUUUAUGUUUCCACUCUCCUGUACGUGUAGCCACUCGAUGCUUAACCCGCCUUCCACAAGCCAGCCCCGCAUCCCUCUCCCCCAGUGGAAGUGCAGAGCCUGCCUCACUGGUAACGGAAAACCUUGGCUUGGGAGGCCAGCCCUGGCCCAUGAAGGGGCUGGCUAUGCCCAACCCACUUGGCUGCAGUGGGCAGCUCAUGUCUCUAUCUCCAAAGUGAUGUUUGCAAAACAUUGGCUGAAUUGAGCUGGUAUCCCCAACUCUUGCGGCACUAGGCCAAACCGACCACAUCCCAUGAGCUCCCAAAUGGCGUCUGCUCACUGUGAGACGAGAUGCCACACCGCACAGGAGACGGACGCAGUGGGCAUUUGGAACCAGUUCUGUUCAGACUUCGUCAAAGCCAAAGUCAGUCUGGUGUUGUCAGUUGACACAUCUCCAGAGUUCAUGACAGCUCAACCUCUCCCCUUGUGCAGAAGCCAUUUGUAAAAUCACAUUGACCUAAAUUCAGCUGCCAAACACAAUCACAGUCUCUCCUAUUGAUCUGCUCGGCUUAUGUUGAAAAUUUCAAUGUCAUGAUUACCUGGUUGGUUUGGGUUUUUGUUUUGUUAUUUUCCAUUGGAAAUAAAGAUGUCAAGAAGCUUUUAAAGGUCACCACAAAAAAACCAAGCCCAGGAGUGAAGGGCUCGCUCUUAGCGUAAAUAAGGGGAAAGGGCAGUUAGCUCGGGGACUUGUGACGGAUCCACUUUGGUGUUCAAGGACCUGCUUAUGCCCUCAGUGCCACUUGGUCUUGGUGAGAUGCCUGUGCUCCUCUACGGCAGACAGCUGCUUCUGCACAGUCUCUUCUGCUUUCAUAACUGUUUAAAGGUACUUUUCUAUUGUCAUUUUUAAAAAAUAAUAAAGUGUUUAUUCCAGCUCUCA
Long non-coding RNA from Mandrillus leucophaeus (drill), 3902 nucleotides. RefSeq lists it as uncharacterized. The transcript is spliced from 2 exons. NCBI's taxonomy places the organism in Eukaryota, Metazoa, Chordata, Mammalia, Primates, Cercopithecidae. The record is from RefSeq and is a predicted model, not a curated record.